This 223-nucleotide ribosomal RNA is filed under the name uncultured bacterium. RNAcentral's name for it is "partial 16S ribosomal RNA". It matches the Rfam family "Bacterial small subunit ribosomal RNA", at positions 29 to 233 of the family's 1533-position model. The record is from RNAcentral.
AACGAACGCUGGCGGCGUGCUUAACACAUGCAAGUCGAACGAGAAGUACGUAGCAAUACGUAUUGUAAAGUGGCGCACGGGUGAGUAACACGUGGGUAAUCUGCCCUUGAGUUUGGGAUAACCCCGCGAAAGCGGGGCUAAUACCGAAUAAGACCACGAAGACCAAAGUCUUUGGGGUAAAAGGUGGCCUCUAUUUAUAAGCUAUCACUUAAGGAUGAGCCCG